Molecule: long non-coding RNA, 4353 nt
Filed under: Homo sapiens (human)
Lineage: Eukaryota; Metazoa; Chordata; Mammalia; Primates; Hominidae
Description: long non-coding RNA NONHSAT195883.1
Source: RNAcentral
UGAUUUUAAACUGUGGAGCACGUCAAGAGAAAGCUCACUGAUCUGCCGAGGGUUUGUGCUUUUCUGUCUUCAUGCAUCUGUUGUGGGUGAAGAGAGCAAAGAUUCUUCAUUCAAUCAAAGGCCCCCUUUGGAGAUGCUGAGAAGGAAAUUUCCUUUGGAAAUUCCCAAAGAAGAAAUAUUCUGUUUCUGGCCUCCCAUCUUGGUGGGGGAUGUGCAGGCUGAGAACACAGGAGCUGACUUCUAUUGUAUCAGCUGAGACUGCAGGGUAGACUGCAAGAAGUGCCUCCUUGCUGAUGGACUGGAAUUGGGCUGUCUCUCUCUCUUUCUCUGGUUGCAUUUCACCAGCUAAGGAGUUGCAUUGGCUUCUGCUCUCCUCUCUUGCUCACCUACAUUGUGACAAAACUCAGCUUUGCCCCUGCACGGAGUUUCCCUUCGCGGGGCCCGCUGGGGAAGCAUCCGCGGCUUGUGGUGGCUGUGGUUUUGUGCCCAGGACUCACACGUAAAAGGAGCUCAUUCGGAGGCAGGGGCACGCGCUUGUCCCCAGAACUCAAACCCCAGAGUCCCUCCCAUCUCCGACUUGUGUCAAGAAAUGGGAAGUUCUGGGCCCAGAUCCCCAUAAGUCAGCGAUGAGGGGGGCCGAGCAGGGGCUGCCCGUUAGACGGCCGCAGAGUCCCAGCCCCCAGCCCUGCUCACCUUUCUUACCUCUCUGGCCCCGUCGGCAUUUGAGCCUGGGACCCCAGACGAAAGGAUACGCUUCCUUUUAGAACCCCUGCCAAUCUGAGGACGGGGCCACCCCACAGACGCCGUGGCUCAGCAAGCAGACCAAUGGCCGAGGAGUCUGGCAAGGGGCGCUUCGUGAUGCAUCACUGGGUAAACGAGAGAGGCUGAAGUCAGAGACAGGAUCUUGGAGCGCUUGAUCCAAUUUAAUUCUUCUAUUUUUUUUUUUUUAAACCCUAGGCAGAUGAGAGUGGAGGUUGUAAAUCACCCUCCAUGCAAUGGUUCAUCAUAAAGGAUAUGGAGCAAAAUUAGAGGAGGCACGAGAAGGAAAGCCGGUGAUGAACAAGGAUUUGCCUCAACUACAGAGACAGCAUGGAACACGCCCUCCUAGGCUGCCCACAUCCUCAUCUGCAUGGGGGCACAGAAGCCUGGCCAUUCAUCCCAUGGGAGACUCAGGACAUGCUCCCAGCAACCUGAUGGGCUGCCCAAGGCUUGGCUGAUCCUGCAUCCCUGCAUCACAUCUCAGCUUCUCCCUCUGCCCAAAUCUACUUCCUCCCCAUUCCUUUCACAGGCAUUGAUUCCCUGAUAAACACCUUGCACCCCAUAUUCCAUCUCAGAGUCUCCUUGCAGAGAACCCAACCUGUGGCAGAGCUGGUCUCAGGACUCGGAGCGAGGGAGCAGGGAAAGAGGACAGGAAAGCAGGGAGAGUCAAUUUAAGGGUAUGUUGUCUGAGACAAAGAUUCUGCUAGGACCUCUGAGAUGGGUACAAGAUGCCUGGAGCCAUUCACUGGGCAGUAUCUGUCCAUCAGCUCCCAGGCCCCACAGAACCGGAGCUGCCUGUGAGGGCUUUCACUGCCCUGCAUUUCUGGGCUUCACAUAUGCACUGGCUGAGAGGGCUCCCUGUCUUCAAGGACGAUCCUGAGCAGAAAGUGGGUGCACUUGAGGUGGCAUGCUGUUGCGAGAGUCUGAGCUUUAUGAGAAGCAGACCCAGGGGGCAUGGUGUGGGGCAUCCCAAAGGACCUGCCAUACAUUAGGUGCCUUGGUCUUGGGGAGGAGCCCUCGGGAGUUCUGAGGGUGGGAGAAGAGGUAGGUGGGGUUAAUCCUUUCCCAUUCCCUCCCUGCCUCAGCACCAUGGCUCAGGCAGUAGCGCUGCCAGCUCCUCCUGGGAUCAGAGUUAUGGCCCUGCUCCCCUUGUCCCUUCAGGCUGAGGAACAUAAGGGCUUCCCAUGGUUGCUGGUGUCUGAGUGCCUCAACCUCCCUUGCUGGUUCCUUUCCCCUGCCCACACCUUUGUCAAUAGUUCCCCCCACUGAAGUCUCUUUGGUUGAGCAGUUGGUGGGGAUGCUGACUGAUAAAGUGGUCUAGGCCACUGCUCACUGCUUAAAGCCUUGCUUCAGAGAGACCUUCCAGGGCCCUGCAGCUCCCCCUUCUCCAACCCCUCCAACCCCUCCAACCUUUCUCUCUCCCAGCUGGUCUGGGUUCCCUACGGCAUCUACUUGCUUUUGAAUCUAUUUCUUAUAGAUACAUGUGUGUCCUCCUCUUUCACAGCCUUACCUUUUCAUAUGGAGGAAGAAAAAACCCAUUUCUAUAAAGCUAUUAAAUGUUUUCCUUUCACAAACACCAGUUUUGUACGGCUAUUGCUUAAAGACUGAAUGACAUGGACCCCAGAGUUUAUGUGGGAAAGUGCCUGGUUGAAGCUAGCUUGCAAUCCCAAAGUCAGAAGGUUGCCUGGGAAGCCAUGAAACAAAGCCAAAUCAAGGCAAAGCAGACACAUGGAGAUUUUGAGACUGAGAAGAGGAAAACUGAGGACAUUCAUGUGAGAUGGUUUCAAGUUUCCCUUAGAAGGAGAAGUUAUCUUCAGAAGGUCAGGUUGGUGAGGUGGGAGUUCAAAAACAACAAAGUAUGUAGCUACCAUUGUGAGGAAGACCAUGGAAAAUGGACGAAUCAGAAUGAAAGGCUUUCUGAACAAGAGUAAGUACCCCCACUGAUGUGGCUUGGUGGUAUCACCAGGGGAGUUUCCCUGCACAAGCUCCCUCCUGCCUGCUGCCAUGUGAGACCUGCGUUUUGCCUUCCACCAUGACUGUGAGGCCUCUUCCCCGGCCAUGUGGAACGCCCAGAGACAGAAGCAGAUAAUGCAAGUGUCAUCUACAUCUGGCAAAAGCCAAAGGUUUGGAAGAUGGAAAAAGGAAUCCAGGCAAAAAGGAGCCCAAGAUUGAAGUGAAUGACCAGGUGCACCAGUUCAAAUGCAAUCAGGAGGGACAGGGGUAGAGGGAGAAGCCUAGAGCAGCGCUUCUCAAACUGACUAUUCAAGUCACCUGGAGAUCUUGGUGAAAUGCAGACUCUGGUGCAGUAGGUCCUGGCGGGAACUUGAAAUUCUGCAUUUUGACCAAGGUCCAAGGUGAAUGUCCAGUGCUGUUGUCCUUGGCCUGCAGCAGGAGGAGCAGGGAUCUAAGACUUGGAGAGCAAAUGUCAAGCUCAGAAGAAAGACUGGAAGUUUGGGGACAAAACCCAAAUAUGGCUAAAGAAAGCCUGUAGGAUGAAGUUGGAAGUUCCAGAGCCUUCUCUUCACAUAAUGGGACAUGCAAGGGGGAAACCAAAUCAAAAGUGUAGAAUGCGUCGCUGGAUGUCUUUGACAUGUUAUUGUUCUGAUAGAAUAUCAGCGGGGAGCUACUGAGGACCUCCUCACUACCCUCCCUUGGAAGAGUUUGUCUGCAAUGGAGCCAACACAGUGGAAAGCAGAGCUGAGAAAUGGACAAACAACUCCUGAUGCCUCAUUUGAGCACCUGGAUUUAGCCAUGUCUGAAGCUAUUAUAUCCUUGAACUUUUGAAUCAUGUAGGUUACCAUAAUUCCUUUUUUGUUAAAGCUAAUUUGAGUUGGGUUUCUAUCACUUGCAAUCAACAAUUGACCAGGUGCUUAGUACAUAAUGAAUGAGUGAAUGAACAAAUUCAAUUCUGUAAGUAUUUAUCAUCUCCUUACACGGCAGGCACUGUUUUAAGUCCCAAAGAAAGAGGCAGAGGAGCGACAGAGAUGACUUCCUCCCUUGAAAACGAAGCAUGUGGCCUGACAACCUAAAAUUGGGGUCAAUCCAUCCAAUUAUGGUGACUGCUUAGAAAUAUCCCUUUUCCUCCCAACGUUUUCCUUUCCUUCUCCCAUAAACAUAAUAAUGUCUCCUGCCAGUACUAAGGCAUGGCCCAUGGACCCACUAACACCUAUGCUCACGUUAGCUCUUGAGGCCGAGUGGCUUGGUUCUAUCUGGUUAUCAGAUGCAAACUUCAUCACAGCAGGGAUUUGGGCUAGACAUUAGAGGAAUAGUGUGGUACCAGAUGGUGUUUCUGAAGAAGGUUGUCCUAUUUUUGCAGUUUAAGGAUUUGAUAAUAAAUCUGCCUGGCAGCCCUCAGAUGUGAUUUGGCCUUGAAAUCGUCUCUGUUAAUCCUUGAUGCUGUGUGUAUCUGUCAAGGUCCAACCAGAAAAAACAGAACCUGCUCUAAGUAUCUGAACAAAGGGAAAUUUAAUGUAAGGAGCUGAUUGCACAGAUGAAGGAAGGGGCUGGGAGGCAAACAAGAGGGAACUGUGAGGUAACCCAGGGAUUUGCCACAGUAGGAAGACAUGACCACUACUAGGAUAGAGAGGUAAAAAA